GCUCUGCACUGGUUACGACCGUGCAGGCCGUCCAUAAAGUGUGGUCAGCCGGAUUAUCCUCCUUCGGGGAAUACGCUUAUGGGUCAGGCAUAACGCAGAGUAGUGCAAUAUCGAAACGCGGGGCCUGC
The submitters of this non-coding RNA (128 nucleotides) gave its source as unclassified sequences. The record is from Rfam.